RNAcentral lists this ribosomal RNA (303 nucleotides) under uncultured bacterium. RNAcentral's name for it is "partial 16S ribosomal RNA". It matches the Rfam family "Bacterial small subunit ribosomal RNA", at positions 507 to 807 of the family's 1533-position model. The record is from RNAcentral.
AGCAGCAGCCGCGGGAAAACAGAGGCCUCAAGCGUUGUUCGGAUUCAUUGGGCGUAAAGGGUGCGUAGGUGGCUUGGUAAGUUGAAGGUGAAAUCUCGGGGCUUAACCCCGAAACUGCCUUCAAUACUGCUAGGCUCGAGGACUGUAGAGGAGAAUGGAAUUCACGGUGUAGCAGUGAAAUGCGUAGAUAUCGUGAGGAAGACCAGUGGCGAAGGCGAUUCUCUGGGCAGUUCCUGACACUGAGGCACGAAGGCCAGGGGAGCAAACGGGAUUAGAGACCCGAGUAGUCCCUGUCUCUUAUAC